CAGAGCCUGUUAAGUUUCACGUGGAAUGCUCAGUUUGAAAAACUAUAUAUAAAUAUAUUGCCAGUAAUGCUGACAGCGUUUACACUGUGAGGUAGAACCAGUUGGGCUGGAAACCAAAUUUGCUGAAGAGACUAGCUCUAGAGCAUGCAAGCUGUCGUGCAUAGGAAAGAUGGGAAAAGAAACUUGGAUUUAUCCUCUGUUGUAGAGCACUGAAGGAUACGCUUACCUGCAGUGUGUUUAAGACCUUGAACUCUGUGCCUGGCCUUGCAGCUUUAGCUAUCCGAUCCACCUCACAAUGACCAGCACUGAGGGCAUGACAUGGCACGCGAUCCUUCCUGCAGGAGCCUCGAUGGUGCUUGUGACAAGGUCAGGAUUGGUAAGGGAAAGACCUGGGUUCUUGUACCUACUCAUGAGACUCUUUCUGCAUUUCAUCCAGUGAGCGAAGUGGAGGUUUUCCCACCCUCAGGGGCUGUGAAGAGCGGAAACAAGUCGGCUGGUGGCAUCACAGAGCUGCUUUGAAGUGGUUUCCAGUUAUGGGGCAAAAAGGAGGUGAAAUCCUGGCCUUCUUGAAAUCCAUGGGCGUGUGGCUGUUCACUCCAGCGGAGCCAUGCCUUCUUCCUGGGUCUAUUGGCUUUGCCUAAAACCAGUUAUGCUCCCUCCCUUUUUUUUUUUUUUUAAUUACAAAAUUAAUUAAAAAAUUUAAUU
This 705-nucleotide long non-coding RNA is filed under the name Struthio camelus australis. Its description in RNAcentral is "lncRNA (ENSSCUG00000017205.1)". The record is from RNAcentral. Lineage: Eukaryota; Metazoa; Chordata; Aves; Struthioniformes; Struthionidae.